ACUGCGAGUGAACCRGGAAAAGCUCAAAUUUUGAAUCUGGCGGUCUUUCGAGCCCGUCCGAAGUUGUAAUCUAAAAAAGCGUCUUCCSCGCUGGACCGUGUAUAAGWUCCCUGGRAAUGGAAACGUCGUAAAAR
Molecule: ribosomal RNA, 134 nt
Filed under: uncultured fungus
Lineage: Eukaryota; Fungi
Description: partial 28S ribosomal RNA
Source: RNAcentral